RNAcentral lists this long non-coding RNA (538 nucleotides) under Pan troglodytes (chimpanzee). Its description in RNAcentral is "long non-coding RNA NONPTRT006964". Lineage: Eukaryota; Metazoa; Chordata; Mammalia; Primates; Hominidae. The record is from RNAcentral.
CACCUGCAGAGUAGCAGAUGGUGGCUUGUAGAAAGGGUGUCGAGGGAGGGGAGGUGCCGCGUGGAAACAGCCCAAGCCAAACCCCUAGGACCUGUCUCCCUGUCCUCCUAGAGAGCUGAAGGUGUUCCGUGGUCAGUGAGGGCUGGCACUGGCUCUGCACGAAGAUCUCCUCACCUCCCCAGCGGCUCCUGGCCAGCUCCCCACGGAGAGCCCAGGACACUUGUCCCUGGACACAGUGGUGCAGCCAUGCUUGGGCCAAACCAUGAGGCCACCAGAACCGCGAAAGGCUACUCUACUGAGAGGGAUACUGCGAGAGAGGCCCACGGGUUUCCAAGCAUCCCUCUCACUCCGCACACUCAUCUCCACGACCGGCUUUUAAGUGCGGCCUUGAGGCCUGGCUCCCUGUUUGGACUUCUCUGCACCUCCAGGAGCUCCCUUCCCGUCACAGCUGGAUGCCUCCUCCCGCAGGCACCUCCCCGGCAUCCUCCCGCCCCAGGCUGCACCUUCUGUGGGACUGGCCCCCGCAGGCACCUCCCCG